This 466-nucleotide ribosomal RNA is filed under the name uncultured bacterium. RNAcentral describes it as "partial 16S ribosomal RNA". It matches the Rfam family "Bacterial small subunit ribosomal RNA", at positions 339 to 795 of the family's 1533-position model. The record is from RNAcentral.
CUACGGGUCGCAGCAGUCGAGAAUAGUCUACAAUGGACGAAAGUCUGAUAGUGCGACGCCGCGUGGAUGAAGAAGCAUUUCGGUGUGUAAAGUCCUUUUCUGUGUGAGCAAUGUUUUCCAGGUUAAUAGCUUGGAGAAAGCGAUAUUAACACAGGAAUAAGCUCCGGCUAACUCCGUGCCAGCAGCCGCGGUAACACGGGGGGAGCAAGCGUUGUCCGGAAUUACUAGGCGUAAAGGGUAAGUAGGCGGAAUUGUAAGUCAGAUGUUAAAGGCACCGGCUCAACCGGUGUAUGGCAUUUGAUACUGUAAUUCUAGAGUAAGGUGGGGGAAGACGGAAUUCCUGGUGUAGCGGUGGAAUGCGCAGAUAUCAGGAGGAACACCAGAGGCGCAGGCGGUCUUCUAUACCAUUACUGACGCUCAAUUACGAAGGUGUGGGUAUCAAACAGGAUUAGAUACCCUUGUAGUC